UAGGGAAUCUUCCACAAUGGACGAAAGUCUGAUGGAGCAACGCCGCGUGAGUGAAGAAGGGUUUCGGCUCGUAAACUCUGUUGUUAAAGAAGAACAUAUCUGAGAGUAACUGUUCAGGUAUUGACGGUAUUUAGCCAGAAAGCCACGGCUAACUACGUCCCAG
This 163-nucleotide ribosomal RNA is filed under the name uncultured bacterium. RNAcentral's name for it is "partial 16S rRNA". It matches the Rfam family "Bacterial small subunit ribosomal RNA", at positions 355 to 511 of the family's 1533-position model. The record is from RNAcentral.